GUGCUCACUUUGGCAGCACAUAUACUAAAAUUGGAACAAUACAGAAAAGACUAGCAUGGCCCCUGCACAAGGAUGACCCACAAAUUUAUGAAGUGUUCCAUAUUAAA
This 107-nucleotide small nuclear RNA is filed under the name Catagonus wagneri (Chacoan peccary). The record is from RNAcentral. Lineage: Eukaryota; Metazoa; Chordata; Mammalia; Artiodactyla; Tayassuidae.